This 264-nucleotide signal recognition particle RNA is filed under the name Bacillota bacterium. RNAcentral's name for it is "Firmicutes bacterium (anaerobic digester metagenome) signal recognition particle sRNA large type". It matches the Rfam family "Bacterial large signal recognition particle RNA". Rfam says of the family: The signal recognition particle (SRP) is a universally conserved ribonucleoprotein involved in the co-translational targeting of proteins to membranes. Archaeal SRP consists of a 7S RNA and homologues of the eukaryotic SRP19 and SRP54 proteins. In most bacteria, the SRP consists of a 4.5S RNA and the Ffh protein (a homologue of the eukaryotic SRP54 protein). The record is from RNAcentral. Lineage: Bacteria; Bacillati; Bacillota.
UCGUGCUAGACGGGGAGGUAGCGGUGCCCUGUACCCGCAAGCCGCUAUAGCGGGGUCGAAUUCCUAUCUGAGGAUUGAUUUUGUGGAGUCUGCUCUAAGCAAGUGGUGUUGACAAUUGGGUCUUACGCAAUAGGAAUUUACGAACCCCGUCAGGUCCGGAAGGAAGCAGCGGUAAGUAAACCCUCCUAUGUGCCGUAAGGAAGCCUAAUUCGAGCUAACUACUUAGAUAACGUCUGGAAAAUCCUUUCGAAGAUAGGUGCACGA